This 390-nucleotide long non-coding RNA is filed under the name Carica papaya (papaya). Its description in RNAcentral is "long non-coding RNA (CPAP_LNC008949)". The record is from RNAcentral. Lineage: Eukaryota; Viridiplantae; Streptophyta; Magnoliopsida; Brassicales; Caricaceae.
UUGAUCAAUUAACUCCUAGUAAUACGAAAAGACAAAAAAAUUUACCAAUCAAACAUGUCAGGCAAAGCUCAACAAACCAUUCAAUUACUGCUUCUGGCCACUUGGAUUGCAAUGUUGGUGCAACCAAGUCACACCCAGCUAUUACCUGGAUUUCCAGGAAUUCCUGGACUUCUAGGAACUUCUCAAAUUAACCAGUGUUUGGCGUCUUUUAGUGGCAUUGAAGGAUGCUUGCUGUCACUUUUCACUUUUCCAAUUGGAGGUCUUACCCCUUCCUCUUCUUGCUGCAAUGCAAUUCUAAAUAUCAGCAAGAGUUGUUGGUCGGUCUUUUUCCCCUUAGCCCCUUAUACUCCACAACUGAUUCAGAAUUUUUGCGACACUCCAAAGGCAUUC